Molecule: ribosomal RNA, 114 nt
Filed under: Morganella morganii
Lineage: Bacteria; Pseudomonadati; Pseudomonadota; Gammaproteobacteria; Enterobacterales; Morganellaceae
Also listed under: 2 other names
Source: RNAcentral
UGGCGGCCGUAGCGCGGUGGUCCCACCUGACCCCAUGCCGAACUCAGAAGUGAAACGCCGUAGCGCCGAUGGUAGUGUGGGGUCUCCCCAUGUGAGAGUAGGGAACCGCCAGGU